Molecule: ribosomal RNA, 253 nt
Filed under: uncultured bacterium
Lineage: Bacteria
Description: partial 16S ribosomal RNA
Rfam family: Bacterial small subunit ribosomal RNA
Source: RNAcentral
UACGGGGGGGGCAAGCGUUGUUCGGAAUUACUGGGCGUAAAGGGCUCGUAGGCGGCCAACUAAGUCAGGCGUGAAAUCCCUCGGCUUAACCGGGGAACUGCGUCUGAUACUGGAUGGCUUGAGAUUGGGAGAGGGAUGCGGAAUUCCAGGUGUAGCGGUGAAAUGCGUAGAUAUCUGGAGGAACACCGGUGGCGAAGGCGGUUUUCUAGCUGAUUUCUGACGCUGAGGCGCGAAAGCAAGGGGAGCAAACAGG